GCCAGGCAUGGUGGUGCACACCUGUAGUCCCAGCUACUAGGGAGGCUGAGGUGGGAGGAUCACUUGAGCCUGGGAGUUUGAGGCUGCAGUGAGAUAUGAUCAUGUCACUGCACUCCUGCCCGGGCGACAGAGUGAGACUCUGUCUCAA
Molecule: non-coding RNA, 148 nt
Filed under: Homo sapiens (human)
Lineage: Eukaryota; Metazoa; Chordata; Mammalia; Primates; Hominidae
Source: Rfam by way of RNAcentral